CCUACGGGCUGCACCAGUGGGGAAUAUUGCACAAUGGGCGCAAGCCUGAUGCAGCCAUGCCGCGUGUAUGAAGAAGGCCUUCGGGUUGUAAAGUACUUUCAGCGGGGAGGAAGGCAGUGUCGUUAAUAGCGGCAUUGUUUGACGUUACCUACAGAAGAAGCACCGGCUAACUCCGUGCCAGCAGCCGCGGUAAUACGGAGGGUGCGAGCGUUAAUCGGAAUUACUGGGCGUAAAGCGCAUGCAGGCGGUCUGUUAAGCAAGAUGUGAAAGCCCGGGGCUCAACCUCGGAACAGCAUUUUGAACUGGCAGACUAGAGUCUCGUAGAGGGGGGUAGAAUUCCAGGUGUAGCGGUGAAAUGCGUAGAGAUCUGGAGGAAUACCGGUGGCGAAGGCGGCCCCCUGGACGAAGACUGACGCUCAGGUGCGAAAGCGUGGGGAGCAAACAGGAUUAGAUACCCCGGUAGUC
RNAcentral lists this ribosomal RNA (465 nucleotides) under uncultured bacterium. Its description in RNAcentral is "bacterial SSU rRNA". It matches the Rfam family "Bacterial small subunit ribosomal RNA", at positions 338 to 795 of the family's 1533-position model. The record is from RNAcentral.